RNAcentral lists this ribosomal RNA (484 nucleotides) under uncultured bacterium. RNAcentral describes it as "bacterial SSU rRNA". It matches the Rfam family "Bacterial small subunit ribosomal RNA", at positions 30 to 507 of the family's 1533-position model. The record is from RNAcentral.
AUUGAACGCUGGCGGCAUGCCUUACACAUGCAAGUCGAACGGCAGCACGGGAGCAAUCCUGGUGGCGAGUGGCGAACGGGUGAGUAAUAUAUCGGAACGUGCCCAGUCGUGGGGGAUAACGUAGCGAAAGCUACGCUAAUACCGCAUACGAUCUACGGAUGAAAGCAGGGGACCGCAAGGCCUUGCGCGGACGGAGCGGCCGAUGGCAGAUUAGGUAGUUGGUGGGAUAAAAGCUUACCAAGCCGACGAUCUGUAGCUGGUCUGAGAGGACGACCAGCCACACUGGGACUGAGACACGGCCCAGACUCCUACGGGAGGCAGCAGUGGGGAAUUUUGGACAAUGGGCGCAAGCCUGAUCCAGCCAUGCCGCGUGCAGGAUGAAGGCCUUCGGGUUGUAAACUGCUUUUGUACGGAACGAAAAGACUCUUUCUAAUAAAGAGGGUCCAUGACGGUACCGUAAGAAUAAGCACCGGCUAACUACGUG